This 446-nucleotide ribosomal RNA is filed under the name uncultured bacterium. RNAcentral's name for it is "partial 16S ribosomal RNA". It matches the Rfam family "Bacterial small subunit ribosomal RNA", at positions 338 to 795 of the family's 1533-position model. The record is from RNAcentral.
CCUACGGGUGGCAGCAGUCGAGAAUCAUUCACAAUGGGGGAAACCCUGAUGGUGCGACGCCGCGUGGGGGAAUGAAGGUCUUCGGAUUGUAAACCCCUGUCAUGUGGGAGCAAAUUAAAAAGAUAGUACCCCAAGAGGAAGAGACGGCUAACUCGGUGCCAGCAGCCGCGGUAAUACAGAUGUCUCAAGCGUUGGUCGGAAUCACUGGGCGUAAGGCGUGCUGAGGCUGUGUCGUAAGUCGUGUGUGAAAGGCGCGGGCUCAACCCGCGGACGGCACAAGAUACUGCGAGACUAGAGUAAUGGAGGGGGAACCGGAAUUCUCGGUGUAGCAGUUAAAUGCGUAGAUAUCGAGAGGAACACUCGUGGCGAAGGCGGGUUCCUGGACAUUAACUGACGCUGAGGCACGAAGGCCAGGGGAGCGAAAGGGAUUAGAUACCCGGGUAGUC